Myotis lucifugus (little brown bat) is the source of this 72-nucleotide non-coding RNA. Lineage: Eukaryota; Metazoa; Chordata; Mammalia; Chiroptera; Vespertilionidae. The record is from Rfam.
GCCAGUAUGGCUCAGUGGUUGAGCAUCAACCUGUGAAAUAGGAGGUCACGGGUUUAAUUCCUGGUCAGGGCA